UACGUAGGGGGCGAGCGUUGUCCGGAGUUACUGGGCGUAAAGGGCCUGCAGGCGGUCCGGCGCGGUUUGUGUGACAGCGGAUGGCUUAACUAUCCGAGGAUACGAGAUACGGCGUGACUUGAGAGCGCGAGAGGGACACGGAAUUCCGGGUGGAGUGGUGAAAUGCGUAGAGAUCCGGAGGAACACCGAAGGCGAAGGCAGUGUCCUGGCGCGUAUCUGACGCUGAGGUGCGAAAGCCAGGGGAGCGAACGGG
RNAcentral lists this ribosomal RNA (253 nucleotides) under uncultured bacterium. Its description in RNAcentral is "partial 16S ribosomal RNA". It matches the Rfam family "Bacterial small subunit ribosomal RNA", at positions 524 to 776 of the family's 1533-position model. The record is from RNAcentral.